AGGAGUUGCCGAGAAAUAAGACCCUCGAUUGUGAAAAAUACUGUUAUUAUAAAUAACAGUAUAGAGCGCAAGAGUCUAGCUAGUAAGUAGGAUUCUCAUAAGGAAUCAUUUCCACUAUGAAUCUAGUCACUAAAUAAACACAAUUAGCUACUGUGUGUAAUAGUGAGUGUUGAUAACACAAAAUAAUAGUAUAGUUUUGGAAGAUUAUACUAUUGUUUUAAAUAAUCUACU
Molecule: non-coding RNA, 231 nt
Submitted as: unclassified sequences
Source: Rfam